RNAcentral lists this ribosomal RNA (433 nucleotides) under uncultured bacterium. Its description in RNAcentral is "partial 16S ribosomal RNA". It matches the Rfam family "Bacterial small subunit ribosomal RNA", at positions 29 to 507 of the family's 1533-position model. The record is from RNAcentral.
AACGAACGCUGGCGGCAUGCCUAACACAUGCAAGUCGAACGAACCCUUCGGGGUUAGUGGCGCACGGGUGCGUAACGCGUGGGAAUCUGCCCUUUGCUUCGGAAUAACUCAGGGAAACUUGUGCUAAUACCGGAUGAUGUCUUCGGACCAAAGAUUUAUCGGCAAGGGAUGAGCCCGCGUAGGAUUAGGUAGUUGGUGGGGUAAAGGCCUACCAAGCCGACGAUCCUUAGCUGGUCUGAGAGGAUGAUCAGCCACACUGGGACUGAGACACGGCCCAGACUCCUACGGGAAGCAGCAGUGGGGAAUAUUGGACAAUGGGCGCAAGCAUGAUCCAGCAAUGCCGCGUGAGUGAUGAAGGCCCUCGGGUCGUAAAGCUCUUUUACCAGGGAUGAUAAUGACAGUACCUGGAGAAUAAGCUCCGGCUAACUCCGUG